Molecule: ribosomal RNA, 496 nt
Filed under: uncultured bacterium
Lineage: Bacteria
Description: partial 16S ribosomal RNA
Rfam family: Bacterial small subunit ribosomal RNA
Source: RNAcentral
GAUGAACGCUGGCGGCGUGCCUAAUACAUGCAAGUCGAGCGAACAGACGAGGAGCUUGCUCCUCUGACGUUAGCGACGGACGGGUGAGUAACACGUGGAUAACCUACCUAUAAGACUGGGAUAACUUCGGGAAACCGGAGCUAAUACCGGAUAAUAUAUUGAACCGCAUGGUUCAAUAGUGAAAGACGGUUUUGCUGUCACUUAUAGAUGGAUCCGCGCCGCAUUAGCUAGUUGGUAAGGUAACGGCUUACCAAGGCAACGAUGCGUAGCCGACCUGAGAGGGUGAUCGGCCACACUGGAACGGAGACACGGUCCAAACUCCAACGGGAGGCAGCAGUAGGGAAUCUUCCGCAAUGGGCGAAAGCCUGACGGAGCAACGCGGCGGGAGUGAUGAAGGUCUUCGGAUCGUAAAACUUUGUUAUUAGGGAAGAACAAAUGUGUAAGUAACUAUGCACGUCUUGACGGUACCUAAGCAGAAAGCCACGGCUAACUACGU